UGAUGGCAUCAAGAAGGCUGGUGUCAGUGA
RNAcentral lists this non-coding RNA (30 nucleotides) under Rattus norvegicus (Norway rat). Lineage: Eukaryota; Metazoa; Chordata; Mammalia; Rodentia; Muridae. The record is from RNAcentral.